AGCCACCUCCGGGUGGUGGACAGCGGCGGACGGGUGAGUAACGCGUGGGAACAUGCCCUUCGGUACGGAAUAGCCUCGGGAAACUGGGAAUAAUACCGUAUACGCCCUACGGGGGAAAGAUUUAUCGCCGAAGGAUUGGCCCGCGUUAGAUUAGCUAGUUGGUGGGGUAACGGCCCACCAAGGCGACGAUCUAUAGCUGGUUUGAGAGGAUGAUCAGCCACACUGGGACUGAGACACGGCCCAGACUCCUACGGGAGGCAGCAGUGGGGAAUAUUGGACAAUGGGGGAAACCCUGAUCCAGCCAUGCCGCGUGUGUGAAGAAGGCCUUCGGGUUGUAAAGCACUUUCAGUUGUGAGGAAAAGUUAGUAGUUAAUACCUGCUAGCCGUGACGUUAACAACAGAAGAAGCACCGGCUAACUCCGUGCCAGCAGCCGCGGUAAUACGGAGGGUGCGAGCGUUAAUCGGAAUUACUGGGCGUAAAGCGCACGCAGGCGGUUUGUUAAGCUAGAUGUGAAAGCCCCGGGCUCAACCUGGGAUGGUCAUUUAGAACUGGCAGACUAGAGUCUUGGAGAGGGGAGUGGAAUUCCAGGUGUAGCGGUGAAAUGCGUAGAUAUCUGGAGGAACAUCAGUGGCGAAGGCGACUCCCUGGCCAAAGACUGACGCUCAUGUGCGAAAGUGUGGGUAGCGAACAGGAUUAGAUACCCUGGUAGUCCACGCUGUAAACGAUGCAUACUAGGUGUUGG
RNAcentral lists this ribosomal RNA (743 nucleotides) under uncultured bacterium. Its description in RNAcentral is "bacterial SSU rRNA". It matches the Rfam family "Bacterial small subunit ribosomal RNA", at positions 72 to 826 of the family's 1533-position model. The record is from RNAcentral.